AGAGAUGAUGAAUAUGCACUGGGCUUUGAGUAGUUGAAUAUAUUGUUUAUAUAAAGCACAAUGCAGUCUAGAAAACUAUAUCUAAUGA
Humulus lupulus (European hop) is the source of this 88-nucleotide small nucleolar RNA. NCBI's taxonomy places the organism in Eukaryota, Viridiplantae, Streptophyta, Magnoliopsida, Rosales, Cannabaceae. The record is from RefSeq and is a predicted model, not a curated record.